RNAcentral lists this ribosomal RNA (253 nucleotides) under uncultured bacterium. RNAcentral describes it as "partial 16S ribosomal RNA". It matches the Rfam family "Bacterial small subunit ribosomal RNA", at positions 524 to 776 of the family's 1533-position model. The record is from RNAcentral.
UACGGAGGGUCCAAGCGUUAUCCGGAAUCAUUGGGUUUAAAGGGUCCGUAGGCGGCUUUGUAAGUCAGUGGUGAAAGCCCAUCGCUCAACGGUGGAACGGCCAUUGAUACUGCAAGACUUGAAUUAUUAGGAAGUAACUAGAAUAUGUAGUGUAGCGGUGAAAUGCUUAGAGAUUACAUGGAAUACCAAUUGCGAAGGCAGGUUACUACUAAUGGAUUGACGCUGAUGGACGAAAGCGUGGGUAGCGAACAGG